This is a long non-coding RNA of Equus caballus (horse), 7452 nucleotides long. The record is from Ensembl. Lineage: Eukaryota; Metazoa; Chordata; Mammalia; Perissodactyla; Equidae.
CAAACUAAAUUUGCCUAAUUGUAGCAUGUAGCAACUCGGUCUCUUAGAAAUUUGUUUCUUCUCUGUUCGUUUUUGAAUACUGCCUCUAGAUUUGGAUAACUUGUUUAUUGAAAAGGAAAAGUAGGACAAGGGAAAUUUUCUUAAAAAUCCUAUGUAUAAAGCUAAAGCCUACAAUGAUUUCCCAUCCCACUUGGAAUAAAAUCCAAGUUUCUUAUCAGCGCAGGGUGUUCCUAUGAGCUGGACGCAGCCCACCCCUCUGACCUCCUCUCAUUGGUCUCCCUUCAUUCACUCCUCUCCAGUCACGUUUGUCUUCUUUCUGUCCCUUCAGAGUGCCAACCUUGUUCUCUCUUUAGGGCCUAGACUUGCAUUUCCCUCUGCCUGGAAAGUUCUUCUGCCAAAUCUUGGCAUGACUGUCCCCUUGUCGUUCAGAUCACAGGUCUGUGUGGUCACAUGGAGGUGUUCCCGACUAGUCUACUUUAUGUGAUUGUGUAACAGGUAUAACCAAUGACAAUUGUCCUAUUAGUUUAUUAAUUUACUGAUUAUUAUCUGUUUCCUUCCCUGACAUGUGAGCUCCAGGAGAGCAGGAAUUACAGCCUGGUUCAUCCGUUGCUCUAUCCCCGGGGCUGGGCCAGUGCCUGGCACAGAGCAAAUGUUCUCUGAAGAAAUGAAGCAAUCUUGGCUCUGCCAGUUGCCACCUGUAUGACCUUGGGAAAGUCACUUUAUUUUCAUUAUGUUAAAUUAGGCUACAAAACUACUUGUUAUGAGGGUGAAAAAUAUGUAUAUAAAAUACCUAGCACAUUGCCAGGUUCAUAGAAUGUGUUUAAUAAUUAGAAUUUUUUUCCUAAAAAGUCUAAAACACUGUAUAUGUGUGUGUAUGUGUGUAAUUAUGAGCACAUGUAGUAAGCACUGAAUAAGUAUAUGUUGACUGAACCAAAUAUUCAUUGCAGAGCCUGAUCUUCAGCCCAGGUUGCCUGAUUCCUGGUUUGGGGCCCAUUACAUCUUUGGUAAUUCCCAUGCCAAGUAUGCCUCAGCGGUGGGUGGGAGGAAGUGGGAUGCAUGGAGAUGGAGUAUUUUGAGAAAUGAAUGUAGGCCAGCUUUCUGGAGACAUUGCUUCCAGACGUGGUUCUGCCUCGAACUAGUCGAAUCACUGGGGAAGCUGUGUUAUGGCUGUUGGCCUCUGUUUUCUGAUCUAUGAAGUAGAGACCAUGAUACCAAUUUUUCCUCAUUCUUGUUAACAGAUUCUACUGUAUUACUCACUUUGCAUCAAGAUAGGAAGAAUGGUUCUCCCUACGUGUUGCAUGUGAUCUAGUCGAGGAGUACUGUGGACAGGUAUUGUCAACAGCAACACAAGACCCUAGCAACGAAGGCGAGGUCAGAGUAGAACGAUCUGAGGGUAGAACUGGGCACUAUUUGCCCAAGAGUGAAGCAUCAUAACUUAGGCCAGAAAAUUGGAAUUCAUGUCUAGAUUCUGCUACUUAGUAGCUGUGUGGCCCUGGACAAGUUGUAUAACCCCUCUGAACCAAAUUUUUCAGCUGUGUAUAAGGGAGAUAUAUCACCUCCCUCACAGGAUCCUGCUGAUCGUUCCUUUGUGAAGUGUAAAGGACUACCUGAAAAGCUCUGACCCUGCUUUUAUUGGCCGUAUAGCCUACUUGGUAUAGAAACAUUCCAAGCAAUAGACUGUGUGCUUCCUAAAAUACGGAAAACUCCUCAAAGGCAGAAUCUACAAUAUUUAAUUUUUCUGGAUUUCGUUUCAUCUUCCAUAUGGUAUCUGGUUAGAUGACUCAGUUAGCGUAAUUGUGGAUUCGUCCUCAGCUAGUCUCCAAAUGAAUAUUUUCCACAUUUCUGCCAAAGUCCCAAUUCAAAUUGUUUUGUUUGUUUGUUUGCUGAGAGCAGCUGGUUUGUAUAUAAAGGUGGGGAUCAAUGGAUUCUGGGCAGUUUUCAACACUGGAUCUUGAGGGAAACAUUAAUUUCCAGAAUUAGCCACAACAAAUGGGUGCUUAUUAGAUGAGAAGGCUGAAGGUCUGAACCCCUGCAAUCUUGCAGGGUUUUCAGAGAGGGGUUUUUGACCAUGGAUCUAGAGUAACUCUCUCCCAGUCACCCUCUAUGACAUCAUCCUGCUCCUUUCCUUUACAGAAUUUGUAACUAUUUAAAAUGACCUUAUUUGUUUACUUGUCUAUUUCUCUUACAUUCUAUUGGAAUGUGAGGUUGAUGGAAUACGACCUUUAUUCAUUUCCCUAUCUCAAUAACCUAGAAUAAUUCCUGACACAUGGAGGCGAUCAAGAAAUAUUUUUAAUUAAUUAAUAACUAAGUGAAUGCAGCCAUUGAACUAGAAACUGAAAACAAUUCAAUUGUCCAGUUCUUCUUUUAUUCCAAGGAUGACUUCCUCUAGAUGCAAGAGCAGACGCAGUUGAGGAUUCCAUGUUCAUCUGGCUGAGUGGAGUCAACCAGCAUGUUAGAGGUAUAACAUCCGUGAGUCUCACUCAUACACAGAGAAAUCUGGCCAGAAGAGCAAUCCCAAUGACUCAAGAUAGUCUCCCAAUCCUGAAAACGUGAAAAAGAUUUAGCCUAUGUCCUCAUUUGGGAUGUGGUCAGUUAUAGCAACCUUAAUUUGCUGGCUUUCUUUUCAGAAGAGCAUAUCCCGUCUAUAGUGUAAUGGGUUCGGAAGGCGAGUUACCUCUGUUUCCUCUUUGAGGACAAACUGCAUGAAGCUUGCUACGUUCUCUGCCACUGGGGUUAGAAGGGCCAUGAGCUGGGAUAUGCAGUGAUUAAACACUGUCAAGAUGAGGGCCCCUGAGGCAAGGAUCGCCGCCUUCACUCUCCCCCAGAGCCUACGGGGCGUGUAAACCUUGAGACCAACCAAGUAUUUCCUGAAGAUUUGUGCUGUGUUCAGUGCUAAGUUAAUUUUCAGCUUGCAGUCACUUAUGGUGGUAACUUCCAUAUUCAUGCAAAAUUCUUCUUUGACUAGGAUUAUUCAGGGUAACAUUUAAAGACUCUCUCUGAAUCCUUACUGUGUGAGAAUGGCUGAUCUGAAUAAUUUUGUGCAGAGGUGUUGAUUAUGGACUGAAGGUUUAUAUUUUUGUGUUAAUUUCAGGUAAGCCCUCUCUCUCAUUUAUUUGACAUUAACGUAACUGGAUAAUUUUGAAAUUCUGGUGGUUGUAUUUUUAAAUCCACAAAACAAAGUUCCAGUGCAAGUAGGUAUUUUUCACCAGCCAAAAGAUUUGAGUAUGUUGUAAAUAUUACAAAAAGGGCAAUAUUCUAGUCUAGCUACACGCCUACAGAUUUAUUUUUUGUGAACCCUAGAUCUAAGCUUUGUAUGGUGCACUCGCAGUAUCCACCUUGUCUAUCACCUCAGGCCGUAUUCAGUAUUUCCUCACUUAAAAUCCAUAAAGGUUUGGAUGAUCACAUCUCUACACGCAGUGGUCCUUUGGGCAUCCCUUUGAUUCUUUUGAAUUAGGAGAUGUUAGAAGUGGAAAAGACCAGUGAUACAUAUAAACCAGCAGUGUCCGAAUUCUUUUUUGUGGACCAACUGUGUCCAAGUCAAGACACCUGGGGACCUUUAAAGCCAUACAGAUCCUAGGACUCCAACCCCCAUAAAUUCUCCUUCAUUAGAAGGAUUGGGGUCUGGUCCUGGAAUCUAUAUUUUAAAAAAUGUGAUGCUCAGUUGAAUUUGGAAACAGAUGGCCUCUAGUAUAACACCCUGAUUUUGUAGAAGUAAACUGAGAUCCACAAAGGACAGAGGAAACAUACAUGGACACACAGCUGGAAAAUGACCCAGCAUGUAUAUCCUCAGUCUCCUUCAUCCUGAUUUCAUCACCAUGCUCUAAUUAUGAUGACAAUAUAACAAUCAAUGAUAACUCUGCCUACAACCACUACUCAACAUCUAUGCCUAUUGUGUACCUCCUUAGUACUGACCCUGAUGCCUCAUUUGCUUUGAUCCUCCUAAGAACACUUAUGAGAUAUGCCUUAUCUGCUUCCUAGGAUAACCAGGCCUCACAGUACCUGCUCAUAUAACCAAGCUCCUUUAAUGGUGUUUCUAUGUAUUUCCUGAUGACACGGUGAAUGACUGAGUCAGGACACUGUUAAUACUUUCCACUGGGAAACUGACCCUGGAAGGUUACAAUGCCCAUGAUUAGGAAUCAGAAGAUUACAGACAUAAAUGGCACAGAAGAAGGCAUUUUUAAAAGAGCUAAAUCUAAUGUUGUUCAUAAGUCUUCUACCGUGUUCUGAGGUUGCCAGAAUUGAUCAUUGCUACUUUAUUUUAAUCAGGAGCUGAAACUUUCUUGGUUACUGUCAAGUGGGAAAAUUCUCAGUGCUAAAAUAAUUUCCAGGUCCAAUCAAAACAAGCUUCCCCUCAAAAAACUGUCGAAAAUCUCAACAUGCAAUAGAUGUGUUAUGGACUUAUAAAAAUGGAGCCUGAUACUCCCCAGAGUCCUUUCCUGAUGAGGCUUCUGGAGGCACAGGAUUCCCUGAGAUGGAUUUUCCCAGAGGGAAUCUGGAGAAAGGUUUCAAGACAGAUUUUCCUUUGUGAGUGAAUGCCCUGGCAGAGGUGGGGGAGUGAACAGGCAGAUCCACCCAGGAUUUCAGAGCUCUGGGCGUUAGGCUACCUUAUCUCAGCUGGGCUGACUUCUCGCCAACAUCCUCAGUGCCAACCGCUCCUGUAGGUAAAACAAGACUGGCCACUCAGAGUUUAACAUCCUCGAGCUACUGUGAUAAGUUCAAGAAAGGCCACAAGAUCUGAGCUGGACCAAAUAGGGCAAAUGGGAUCCCAUCUUGGAAUCUGUUGGAGCUAUCAGGGGAAAAACAUUUUUUUUUUCUUUUGUAGUAUUCAAGAAGAUGGGACAUAAGCUUAGAGCUCCUGACGUCUUGUCACCAGGAAGGGAGAAGUUAACUAAGAGCUCAGCCACUCUAGAGGAAAGCAGAGAAAUUGAUGCAAGGGUCCUAAUGACAUUGUUUGAGCUCCUGGAUACAACCGUGUUUGAAGUCUCGUAUAUCCAUGAACUUUGCAGUUGUGUGAACCAAUCUAUUUCUUUUUGGCUCUUGCUCAAGUCAAUUGUUCGCAGACAUUUCUGUGCAUCAAAUCACCUGAGGAGCUUGUUAAAAUGUAGAUUUCUAUGCCCCACCUUCAGGUGGAUCUAUGGUGGGAACCAAAACCUUGCAUUUCAAAUAAUUUUCUAGGAGAUGCUGUGGCUGCUGGUCCAGGGGCCAUACUUUGAGAACCAUUGGCUUAGGAGCCUUUUUUGGUUUCUGCUGCUGAUAACCCAAACUGUCUUGAUUGACAUCAGAAGAUCUUUUCUAAAUGGAAAAAGAAUCCGAUGCGUAGAAGAAUUAAUAGAAUGAGAUAAAAUAAUGUGUUUGGGAACUAGUCAAUAAGCACUUGAAAAAGGACAUGGCCAUCCCUCAUGACUGCUUUGGACCAAACCAACAUUUUGUAAGGUGGUUUUCCACUGUCCAUAUGGCUAAAGGCAAGGCCGUUCGAGUUUAUGACAAAUGAGCAAAAACAGCAGGACUAAUACAUGUUUUGUCGAAGACUUAAAACCCGUGCAUUGAGAAAAUGCACAUUUUUCGCUCUGAUCCAGUCUGUCAACAAAAUGCUUUUCAUGAGAAACAUCAAAGCCAUUUCAUCUGCAAGUUUCAUUUUUUUGAAUCCCUUAAUCUACACUGUUGACAAAAAUUUCUGUCAAGUGCCUCAAACCAUUGUAUUAACAAAUUUUAUUUUGUCAGUCAUGAUUUAGCCCCCUUGCAAAGACGGUUUGUAAUAUUCCGCUCCAUCCUGCAGGAGGAAUACUUAACUGUUAAUGCCUCAAUCUUAAUAUUGAAAGCAACUGAAGAGAGAAAGUAAAAGUGGUGUGCUCAUUUAGCACAUCUGUUGGAUGUCCAUGUGCAUUUGAAAUAAAUCCAGUUCAUCUGAAGUUUUCCCUGGGUAAUGCAAGCCACAGUGAGGGUCAGGAUAUUGCAGUUGGUGAACUUACACAGUACUGUUCAUGUUUUCCAGUUUAGUUUCUUAUCUGCUAAUCACAGGCUUUCUGUUCUUACCUAUGCGACUUCUCCCUGUGGCUACGCCUGGUGGCUUUUGUGAAAGCAUCACCAUUCACGAUUUUCCCUAAUUGCAAAUGCAGGAGGAUGCCGUGUACCUUCCAGUGUCUUCAGAUUCCAGUGUGUCUUCAGUUCAAUUAUCAUGCCAUUAAAAUAAGGGAUGGUCACUGCUGUUUUCUAGAGAUGCUGUAAGAGCAUUUGGCUAUUUCUGCUCAAAAAGAAGCAAUGGUGGAUAAGCUUAAGCUUGAGAUGUCUGUUUUCUGCAUAGCUUAUCCCUGAAUUAUUGGUGAUGGCAAGAUGAGAAGGCUGGAUUUCCUGAUAGUCUCUGACAUGUUAAAUUGCUAAGUCUUCUUAGGAACUUCAAAACAAGACAGUCAUAAAUUGAUGUCACCAAUUCUAAUUAUGGUGGAUACCCCUGCGGAGAAUUUGCAGAUGCCAAUGUAUCUUGUAGGGAAUUGGACAUCUUGUACUGUAGACAAGAAUGAAGGAUGUGCUGGGUUAAAUAUUGAGCAAUCUGAAUGUGAGUCCUGACUCUACCUCAUAAUAGCUAUUUGACCUUGAGCAAGUCACUGGAUGUCUCUGGGCUUGAAUAUCUCCUCACCUGCACAAUGGGGCUGAUGUAACUACUUGCCUUGUAGACCUUCUGAGCUCCUGGGAAGAUCAAAAGAGGUGAAUUUAUAAGUCCAAAUUUAGGGUGAUUGUACAAUGCUAGGUAAAUAUAAGCUCGCAUUGGAAGCUGUUUCAGACAUGCUUCUUUCAUUUUAGCUAGCUUCGAGGAGGCAAUACAUUCCUCUCUGUGGUAUAAACCAGUGGCAGAGUGGUGAUGUAAUUUGAUGACUUGCCUCGAAUCUCUCCUGUUUUGACCGUCCAUAUAGUCUUAAAACCCACUUUCAGGUGGUGUCUAGAGUGUGGCAUGCAAAGGAGAAGGGACUACAUAUAAAGUGUGUUGGCAAAGGUUGAUGUGCAUGUGUUUACCGUACUGCUUUCUCGUAUGGGCACCACUGGGAACAGGGAUGUAUGGAUCUGACGUAGGAGCAGUUGAGACCUGGAGCCCAGAAGCUUCCCUUGAAGAGAAGGUGGCAGAUGGCACCAGGAAGGUGGACUAGAAGACUCCCCUGGGUAUCUCGGGCAGCCUUAGAUUCUUCAUCAGCGAAAGGAGCAUCAGGUACCCGCUUAUCUCAUAGAUGUGACAACAUGGGUGAAAUGGCGUUCGUGAAUGGAAGAACAGGUUGGUGUCAAAGUUAGCAGUGGGCGUUGGGGCAGAGAAGGACCUUGUGUGCAAUUUGCGUGGGGUCCUGCGUCCACUCUGAGAGUCCACAUGUAAGGAUCAAUGUUAUGGUCCAUGUGUUUGCUUAUCAUUCAGCUCUCUGGGGUAGAAGAAAUCCCAAGGGCAGGUGGGGACUACAGGUGGUCAGUGGG